Episyrphus balteatus (marmalade hoverfly) is the source of this 2097-nucleotide long non-coding RNA. RefSeq lists it as uncharacterized. NCBI's taxonomy places the organism in Eukaryota, Metazoa, Arthropoda, Insecta, Diptera, Syrphidae. The record is from RefSeq and is a predicted model, not a curated record. The transcript is spliced from 2 exons.
UAUUUUUGCAAAGAAAAUAAUAAUUCAUUGUCUUUUCUUGUUUUAUUUUUAAAUUUCAUGACACGCAAGUUUCUGUUACUUUUCGUUUUGGUUAGUCAGUAAAACAAAUUUCCUACACUCCAACGAAACCUAACCUCACAAUAUAUUCAAACGAAAUGUCAAAAUAAAUACAUCAACUACAAGAGAAUAGAUUUUAUACAUUACUUCCAAUGAAAUCUAUGAAACAAAAAAUUGUAUGUAAUGUAUGAAAAAAAAUUUAAUGUAUGAUGUAUGUAAUGUAUGUGAUGUAUCAUCUAUGAAAUAGGGCUCCCCUUCAAGCAAGAAAACGGAGUCCAGAAAAAACAGUCCGACCUCCGACCGCGAAAAGCGGGGUUGCACUCACACACUUGCAACUUUUUGCGUAUGAACACAAAGUCUAAGAGAAUCGUGGUGAAAACUGAGAAAAGGAAAAAAAAGUAGACAGAGACAUAGCCAACAAGAGCAAAAGCGUCAUUUUGUUAUUUUUUGUUGAAGUGUUUAGUCGCGUCGUGUCUCGUGUCGUUGUUAAUAAAAUAUAAGUAUAAUUAUAAACAAUUAUAUCAAACUAUUAACAAUUUGGAAACAAAAAAAGAUGUAAUCUCUAAUGAUGAAGAAAAAGGCAGAAGGUGAAACAUGCGAUUGGGCAUCUGAAGAAACACCAACAACAGCAGCAACAACAAAUAAAUAAAAUGAAAAAAAUGUAUUGUAUUUAAUAUUGUAUAUAUUGUGAAAAUUUCGUUUGCCAAAAUUAAAUAAAAAAAACAGUUUCAGUGAAAAAAAAAUCUAGUUCUUUUUUUGGUCGCAAAUGCGAAACGUCAUCCCUUUUUUAUUCCUCUUUCUGGUAGGUUUUCGCUGCUCCGACUCAGGUCCGCCUUCGGCUCCGUUUUCUCGGAAUGGAGAUUCUCACCACACCAAUACAUAUGCAAUCGACUUCGCGGUGAUUAUAAUUUCCAUACUAAUUUGAGCCGCCUUCGGACCAGUUUCUGAUCCGAAGUCGGACUCAGCUCCGCCUCAGGCGGAGCGGAUUCGGACCGAGGUCGGACCUCUUUGCUUGAAGGGUCUGGAGCAAAUGCAAUCAAUGCGAUCUGGGCCCUAUUUCAUAGAUAAUACAUCACAUACAUUACAUACAUCAUACAUUAAAAUUUUUUUCAUACAUUACAUACAAUUUUUUGUUUCAUAGAUAUCAUUGGAAGUAAUGUUUAAAAUCUAUUCUGUUGUAGUUGAUGUAUUUAUUUUGACAUUUCGUUUGAAUGAAUUGUGAGGUUAGGUUUCGUUGGAGUGUAGCAAUUUUUUUUACUGACUAACCAAAACGAAAAGUAGCAGAAACUUGCGUGUCAUAAAAUUUAAAAAUAAAUCAAGAAAAGACAAUGAAUUAUUAUUUUCUUUGCAAAAACACAAAAUAUAUUAUGUGCAUAUUCCUUAUGAUUAAAUUAUGAAUACAAAACUCCCAUUUUUAUACUUUUAUUAAGUAAAUAAAUUUUGUUUACAACAAAAAGACUUGCUGUAUGAAAUGUAUGAAAAGUUCACACAAAAUGUACUAAAAUGAUGUAUGAUAAAUUUCUAUGAACAGUAUAAUACAACAUUGGAAUACUUCCAGUCGAUUCUCCGUUCAUACACUGAUGUAUGACAGUUCUUCAUACAACAUUUCUAUGAAACAGAAAUAAUACAUCAGAACUGUCAAUAUCAAACAAUGUAUGUAAUGUAUUAUCUAUGAAACAGGCCCCACAACUGUCAAUAUCAUACAAUGUAUGUAAUGUAUUAUCUAUGAAAUAGGCCCCUGCUCUGAAGCAGAUCACAAUUUUAACAAUUUUUAUGAGGCUGACAAGUUGUGAGGGAACGCCAGAAUACGAAAAACCUCACAAAAUCAAACUCACCACACCUUAUGAGGUUCUUGUGACUGUGAUCUGUGAGGUUUUGUAAGAAUACGAAAAAGUCACAAAAAUUUGUUCAACUCGAGUUGUGAGGUUAUUGUGACUUGUGAGGCAUCAAUGAGGUUUGCCAGAAUAGGGGUAUAAAUAGUAAUAAACACGCGAUCCACUGCAGUACAGUAGAGGAUCAUAAAAAAAUUAGAAUUUUGUU